AUUGAACGCUGGCGGCAGGCCUAACACAUGCAAGUCGAACGAGUGGCGGACGGGUGAGUAAUGUCUGGGAAACUGCCUGAUGGAUGGGGAUAACUACUGGAAACGGUAGCUAAUACCGCAUACCAUCGGAUGUGCCCAGAUGGGAUUAGCGAGUAGGUGGGGUAAAGGCUCACCGAGGCGCCGAUCCCUAGCUGGUCUAAGAGGAUGACCAGCAACACUGGAACUGAGACACGGUCCAGACUCCUACGGGAGGCAGCAGUGGGGAAGAUUGCACAAUGGGCGCAAGCCUGAGGCAGCCAUGACGCGGGUAUGAAGAAGGCCUGCGGGUUGGAAAGUACUUUCAGCGGGGAGGCGUUACCCGCAGAAGAAGCACCGGCGAACUCCGUGCCAGCCGCCGCGGUAAUAC
Molecule: ribosomal RNA, 406 nt
Filed under: uncultured bacterium
Lineage: Bacteria
Description: partial 16S ribosomal RNA
Rfam family: Bacterial small subunit ribosomal RNA
Source: RNAcentral